GUGCAACUCAUCAGCAUCUCAAGAGAGUGGUUGAACUCUGCCAUCUGCGGCUGCGGCCAAUCCUCGGGCUGGAAGAAAGAGGAAGCUAUAUUGGAUGCAGGUGGUGGUGGAACAAAAGAGGAGGAUGUAGGGGUGGUGGAGGGGACGGAAGUUUGCACGGUCCUGAGCGGAGCCAUGCUCUAAUACCAGAUGAUAGGUUCACAAUUAUGAUGCAGAUUGAAUGAGAAAGAAAGCUAAAAUUCAUUCAUAAGUCUUCAUUGCCGAUUCUGGUCUUCUGUUACAAUAAAAGGAUUGAAGACUGAGUUCAAUCCUUGGCAAAAGAGGAAGAAGACAUGUGGCACAGGACCACUUCUUACAUCAGUUCUUGUUCUAUUCCUAUUACAUUAAGGAAACAUAAUUAUAAACGGCCAUACCUUGUUGCAGACUGAAUAUGGAUAUGAAGAGAGGUUGGAGAAAAAGGUGAUCGAACUCAUAAAUUUGUGAACGAGUAUAUAUGGAUUGCACAAGUAGUUGUGUAAAAACCGGGACAUUGGAUGAAUGUGACUGAACAACAGAGGUAUCUUUGCAUAUCCUCAACUGUUCCUUGAAAGGGAAGACGGUCCUCUUCUCUUGCCUAUGUUUUGUUAUACCCGGUUUAUCCAGGAAAUGUCUUAAGGAGUUUCUUCAUCUGCACUCGAGAAGCAAUUCAUUUGUUCUAAGUUUACCUAAAAAGAAAUCAUUUGCUUUUGAA
Molecule: long non-coding RNA, 730 nt
Organism: Rosa rugosa (rugosa rose)
Lineage: Eukaryota; Viridiplantae; Streptophyta; Magnoliopsida; Rosales; Rosaceae
Exons: 2
Source: RefSeq, a predicted model, not a curated record